Molecule: ribosomal RNA, 497 nt
Filed under: uncultured bacterium
Lineage: Bacteria
Description: partial 16S ribosomal RNA
Rfam family: Bacterial small subunit ribosomal RNA
Source: RNAcentral
GAUGAACGCUGGCGGCGUGCCUAAUACAUGCAAGCCGAGCGAACAGACGAGGAGCUUGCUCCUCUGACGUUAGCGGCGGACGGGUGAGUAACACGUGGAUAACCUACCUAUAAGACUGGGAUAACUUCGGGAAACCGGAGCUAAUACCGGAUAAUAUAUUGAACCGCAUGGUUCAAUAGUGAAAGACGGUUUUGCUGUCACUUAUAGAUGGAUCCGCGCCGCAUUAGCUAGUUGGUAAGGUAACGGCUUACCAAGGCGACGAUGCGUAGCCGACCUGAGAGGGUGAUCGGCCACACUGGAACUGAGACACGGUCCAGACUCCUACGGGAGGCAGCAGUAGCGAAUCCUCCGCGAUGGGCGAAAGCCUGACGGAGCAACGCCGCGUGAGUGAUGAAGGUCUUCGGAUCGUAAAAUUCUGUUAUUAGGGAAGAACAAAUGUGUAAGUAACUAUGCACGUCUUGACGGUACCUAAUCAGAAAGCCACGGCUAACUACGUG